GCGACUGUGGCGGAACUGGCAGACGCGCCAGACUUAGGAUCUGGUAUCGACGAUGUGGGGGUUCAAGUCCCUUCAGUCGCA
RNAcentral lists this transfer RNA (81 nucleotides) under Faecalibacterium sp. CAG:1138. It matches the Rfam family "tRNA". Rfam says of the family: Transfer RNA (tRNA) molecules are approximately 80 nucleotides in length. Their secondary structure includes four short double-helical elements and three loops (D, anti-codon, and T loops). The record is from Rfam by way of RNAcentral. Lineage: Bacteria; Bacillati; Bacillota; Clostridia; Eubacteriales; Oscillospiraceae.